This 1372-nucleotide ribosomal RNA is filed under the name uncultured bacterium. RNAcentral describes it as "bacterial SSU rRNA". It matches the Rfam family "Bacterial small subunit ribosomal RNA", at positions 28 to 1381 of the family's 1533-position model. The record is from RNAcentral.
GAUGAACGCUGGCGGCGUGCCUAAUACAUGCAAGUCGAGCGAACAGAUAAGGAGCUUGCUCCUUUGACGUUAGCGGCGGACGGGUGAGUAACACGUGGGUAACCUACCUAUAAGACUGGGAUAACUUCGGGAAACCGGAGCUAAUACCGGAUAACAUUUGGAACCGCAUGGUUCUAAAGUGAAAGAUGGUUUUGCUAUCACUUAUAGAUGGACCCGCGCCGUAUUAGCUAGUUGGUAAGGUAACGGCUUACCAAGGCAACGAUACGUAGCCGACCUGAGAGGGUGAUCGGCCACACUGGAACUGAGACACGGUCCAGACUCCUACGGGAGGCAGCAGUAGGGAAUCUUCCGCAAUGGGCGAAAGCCCGACGGAGCAACGCCGCGUGAGUGAUGAAGGGUUUCGGCUCGUAAAACUCUGUUAUUAGGGAAGAACAAACGUGUAAGUAACUAUGCACGUCUUGACGGUACCUAAUCAGAAAGCCACGGCUAACUACGUGCCAGCAGCCGCGGUAAUACGUAGGUGGCAAGCGUUAUCCGGAAUUAUUGGGCGUAAAGCGCGCGUAGGCGGUUUAUUAAGUCUGAUGUGAAAGCCCACGGCUCAACCGUGGAGGGUCAUUGGAAACUGGGAAACUUGAGUGCGGAAGAGGAAAGUGGAAUUCCAUGUGUAGCGGUGAAAUGCGCAGAGAUAUGGAGGAACACCAGUGGCGAAGGCGACUUUCUGGUCUGUAACUGACGCUGAUGUGCGAAAGCGUGGGGAUCAAACAGGAUUAGAUACCCUGGUAGUCCACGCCGUAAACGAUGAGUGCUAAGUGUUAGGGGGUUUCCGCCCCUUAGUGCUGCAGCUAACGCAUUAAGCACUCCGCCUGGGGAGUACGACCGCAAGGUUGAAACUCAAAGGAAUUGACGGGGACCCGCACAAGCGGUGGAGCAUGUGGUUUAAUUCGAAGCAACGCGAAGAACCUUACCAAAUCUUGACAUCCUUUGAAAACUCUAGAGAUAGAGCCUUCCCCUUCGGGGGACAAAGUGACAGGUGGUGCAUGGUUGUCGUCAGCUCGUGUCGUGAGAUGUUGGGUUAAGUCCCGCAACGAGCGCAACCCUUAAGCUUAGUUGCCAUCAUUAAGUUGGGCACUCUAGGUUGACUGCCGGUGACAAACCGGAGGAAGGUGGGGAUGACGUCAAAUCAUCAUGCCCCUUAUGAUUUGGGCUACACACGUGCUACAAUGGACAAUACAAAGGGCAGCUAAACCGCGAGGUCAUGCAAAUCCCAUAAAGUUGUUCUCAGUUCGGAUUGUAGUCUGCAACUCGACUACAUGAAGCUGGAAUCGCUAGUAAUCGUAGAUCAGCAUGCUACGGUGAAUACGUUCCCGGGUCU